This 590-nucleotide ribosomal RNA is filed under the name uncultured bacterium. RNAcentral's name for it is "bacterial SSU rRNA". It matches the Rfam family "Bacterial small subunit ribosomal RNA", at positions 232 to 833 of the family's 1533-position model. The record is from RNAcentral.
CGCGGCCUAUCAGCUUGUUGGUGAGGUAAUGGCUCACCAAGGCGACGACGGGUAGCCGGCCUGAGAGGGCGACCGGCCACACUGGGACUGAGACACGGCCCAGACUCCUACGGGAGGCAGCAGUGGGGAAUAUUGCACAAUGGGCGAAAGCCUGAUGCAGCGACGCCGCGUGAGGGAUGACGGCCUUCGGGUUGUAAACCUCUUUCAGCAGGGAAGAAGCGAAAGUGACGGUACCUGCAGAAGAAGGCCCGGCCAACUACGUGCCAGCAGCCGCGGUGAUACGUAGGGGUCUAGCGUUGUCCGGAAUUAUUGGGCGUAAAGAGCUCGUAGGCGGUUCGGCAAGUCGGAUGUGAAAUCUCCACGCUUAACGUGGAGGGGCCAUUCGAAACUGCCGUGACUCGAGUCCGGUAGGGGAGUUCGGAAUUCCCGGUGUAGCGGUGAAAUGCGCAGAUAUCGGGAGGAACACCAGUGGCGAAGGCGGAACUCUGGGCCGGAACUGACGCUGAGGAGCGAAAGCGUGGGGAGCGAACAGGAUUAGAUACCCUGGUAGUCCACGCCGUAAACGUUGGGCACUAGGUGUGGGGUUCUAU